CAAAUCCCUCACCUUUUCAACUUUCUUUGGAUAUUUUCGCUCCUUUAUUUUGGAAGGAUAUAUCUACUAUUGUCAUAAAUAAUUAACAAUCUCUCAAUUUUGGUGUGGAAUAGAGCUUGAUUUUAUUAAUUGGUAAGGGGAAUUUGAGAAUACUCACCACAAGAAGAAAAUGGGCUGAAUAGGGAAAAAUUAUUAUAUACGAUUGGAGUAUGUUGAAAUGAUUUUAUUUUGACUAUUUGAUUAUGGUGAGUUUGACAUUGUUUAAAGUGUAUGCGUUAUAUAUAUAUAAUGGUAUGGUUGUUUCGAAUAUAUUUGUUUUUGUUCUAACUUAUUAAAAUUUCCCUUUGCAACCAUAUUGUAGGUUCCAUUUGAAGA
RNAcentral lists this unclassified non-coding RNA (375 nucleotides) under Hevea brasiliensis (rubber tree). The record is from RNAcentral. Lineage: Eukaryota; Viridiplantae; Streptophyta; Magnoliopsida; Malpighiales; Euphorbiaceae.